UGUGUCACACAACAUCCCCCCUCAAUCCCAAUGGCCUUUAAAAUGGUUUGAAAAACUUCAACCAACCUGGCCGUUCGGGGGGCGGUUUAAUAAAUUAUACAACUUUCAGCAACGGAUCUCUUGGCUCUCGCAUCGAUGAAGAACGCAGCGAAUUGCGAUAAGUAAUGUGAAUUGCAGAUUUUCAGUGAAUCAUCGAAUCUUUGAACGCACCUUGCGCUCCUUGGUAUUCCGAGGAGCAUGCCUGUUUGAGUGUCAUUGAAUUCUCAACCAUGUCUUGGAUUUCAUUUCAAGGCUUGGCUUGGAGUUGGGGGUUUGCUGGCGGCGAAAAGCUGUCAGCUCUCCUGAAAUGCAUUAGCAAAGGGCGGCGAGUCUUUGACAUGCACGGCCUUUGACGUGAUAAUGAUCGUCGUGGCUGGAGUGUCACGGGACAUGCAUGAAUCGUCCGUGCUUCCAAUCCCUACCUAGCCACAAGUUCGAGCACUUGGCUACUAGUCGGUCGCGAGACCGACGAACGCCCGGUGUGCGGCAGUUGGCUUGUGUUUUUGCAAACUUGACCUCAAAUCAGUAGGACUACCCGCUGAACUUAAGCAUAUCAAUAAGCGG
RNAcentral lists this ribosomal RNA (603 nucleotides) under Baorangia pseudocalopus. RNAcentral's name for it is "eukaryotic LSU rRNA". The stretch from base 101 to 255 matches the Rfam family "5.8S ribosomal RNA". Lineage: Eukaryota; Fungi; Basidiomycota; Agaricomycetes; Boletales; Boletaceae. The record is from RNAcentral.